This is a long non-coding RNA of Gorilla gorilla gorilla (western lowland gorilla), 290 nucleotides long. RefSeq lists it as uncharacterized. The record is from RefSeq and is a predicted model, not a curated record. The transcript is spliced from 2 exons. Lineage: Eukaryota; Metazoa; Chordata; Mammalia; Primates; Hominidae.
CCUACAUUGCACACUGAAGAGUAGAAAUUGUGAGUAAUCUUAUGUGCUGUAUCAGUGAAGACAUGUCUUCCAAAAUAACAUGCUUACUUUGGAUUAAGAAAUACAUCUUAAUGUGUGAUAUGAAGUUUGGGGAAAAUACACAUCUGACAUCACCUUUAUUUCAAGAGUGUGUGUACGUGGUGACAAUGAAGAUAUAAGAAUUGGAAAAGAAAUUUGAGAAGUUGAGAGUAAUAUAAAAGAUUAUGUUACUUAAAACAAUAAAUACAAAUAAAAGCUGCAUUGAAUAUUUA